Molecule: long non-coding RNA, 359 nt
Filed under: Medicago truncatula (barrel medic)
Lineage: Eukaryota; Viridiplantae; Streptophyta; Magnoliopsida; Fabales; Fabaceae
Description: long non-coding RNA (MTRU_LNC004292)
Source: RNAcentral
AACCCUUAGCUGGAGUUUCGACAACCAUCUCUCCAUUAAUAUUUGACAUAGCAAAACCCAACUUAGAAGCACAAUCAAUAGCAAUAAAACAAUGUGUAGCACCAGUAUCAAUAAUAGCAACUAAAGGUGUACUAUCAAAAUAACAUGUACCUCUGAUCAAACGAUCCUCAUUCUCUGUCUGAGUAUCAGUCAAAGCAAAAACUCUCCCAGUAGUCUGCGCCUUCUUAGGCUUCUUGUACUGCGAACCAAUGUGACCUUUCUCAUUGCAAUUGAAACACACAAUAUCAUCAUGUUUACAAUCAACAAGUGUAUGCCCUUUCUUUCCACAACGAAAACAUCUUUUCACGUCCCCAGGACAA